UCGAGCGGCAGCACGGGAAGCUUGCUUCCUGGUGGCGAGCGGCGGACGGGUGAGUAAUGCAUAGAAAUCUGCCCGGUAGUGGGGGAUAACCUGGGGAAACCCAGGCUAAUACCGCAUACGUCCUACGGGAGAAAGCAGGGGAUCUUCGGACCUUGCGCUAUCGGAUGAGUCUAUGUCGGAUUAGCUUGUUGGUGAGGUAAUGGCUCACCAAGGCGACGAUCCGUAGCUGGUCUGAGAGGAUGAUCAGCCACAUCGGGACUGAGACACGGCCCGAACUCCUACGGGAGGCAGCAGUGGGGAAUAUUGGACAAUGGGCGAAAGCCUGAUCCAGCCAUGCCGCGUGUGUGAAGAAGGCCUUCGGGUUGUAAAGCACUUUCAGUGGGGAAGAAAGCCUUGGGGCUAAUACCCUCGAGGAAGGACAUCACCCACAGAAGAAGCACCGGCUAACUCCGUGCCAGCAGCCGCGGUAAUACGGAGGGUGCGAGCGUUAAUCGGAAUUACUGGGCGUAAAGCGCGCGUAGGCGGUCUGAUAAGCCGGUUGUGAAAGCCCCGGGCUCAACCUGGGAACGGCAUCCGGAACUGUCAGGCUAGAGUGCAGGAGAGGAAGGUAGAAUUCCCGGUGUAGCGGUGAAAUGCGUAGAGAUCGGGAGGAAUACCAGUGGCGAAGGCGGCCUUCUGGACUGACACUGACGCUGAGGUGCGAAAGCGUGGGUAGCAAACAGGAUUAGAUACCCUGGUAGUCCA
Molecule: ribosomal RNA, 744 nt
Filed under: Halomonas ventosae
Lineage: Bacteria; Pseudomonadati; Pseudomonadota; Gammaproteobacteria; Oceanospirillales; Halomonadaceae
Description: bacterial SSU rRNA
Rfam family: Bacterial small subunit ribosomal RNA
Source: RNAcentral